CUACGGGUUGCUCCAGUGAGGAAUUUUUCGCAAUGGGGGCAACCCUGACGAAGCAACACCGCGUGAAGGAUGAAGGGCUUUUGCUUGUAAACUUCUUUUUUGAGGGAAUAAAUAUGAAGGUACCUCAAGAAUAAGCAUCGGCUAACUACGUGCCAGCAGCCGCGGUAAGACGUAGGAUGCAAGCGUUAUCCGGAAUUAUUGGGCGUAAAGAGUUCGUAGACGAAUUGUUAAGUAGGAUGUUAAAGAUCAGGGCCUAACCCUGAGAAGGUGUCCUAAACUGGCAGAAUAGAGUAAUGUAGGGGCAAGUAGAAUUCUGUGUGUAGGGGUAAUAUCCGUAGAUAUACAGAGGAAUACCAAAAGCGAAGGCAGCUUGCUGGGCAUUUACUGACGUUCAAGAACGAAAGCGUGGGGAGCAAACAGGAUUAGAUACCCCCGUAGUC
RNAcentral lists this ribosomal RNA (440 nucleotides) under uncultured bacterium. Its description in RNAcentral is "partial 16S ribosomal RNA". It matches the Rfam family "Bacterial small subunit ribosomal RNA", at positions 339 to 795 of the family's 1533-position model. The record is from RNAcentral.